GACGAACGCUGGCGGCGUGCUUAACACAUGCAAGUCGAACGGGCCCGCUCUCUUUUUUGGGGGUGGGUUGAGUGGCGAACGGGGGAGUAUCACGUGAGUAACCUGCCCCCUGCUCCUGGAUAACUGCUUGAAAGGGCGGCUAAUACGGGGUGUGCCGGCUGGUCCGCAUGGGCCUGGUCGGGAUAGUUUCAUCUUCGGGUGUUUCGGUGGGGGAUGGGCUCGCGGCCUAUCAGCUUGUUGGUGGGGUGUUGGCCCACCAAGGCGGUGACGGGUAGCCGGCCUGGGAGGGUGGGCAGCCGGGCUGGGAGUGAGACACGGCCCAGACUCGGGCGGGAGGCAGCGGUGGGGGGUAUUGCACAGUGGGCGGAAGCCUGAGGCAGCGACGUCGCGUGAGGGAGGGAGGCCGUCGGGUUGUGACCCUCUUUCGGCGGGGGUGAAGGCCCUGUCCGUUGCGGCGGGGUUGACGGUAGCCGGGGAUGAAGCGCCGGCUAACUACGUG
This 499-nucleotide ribosomal RNA is filed under the name uncultured bacterium. RNAcentral describes it as "partial 16S ribosomal RNA". It matches the Rfam family "Bacterial small subunit ribosomal RNA", at positions 28 to 507 of the family's 1533-position model. The record is from RNAcentral.